This 68-nucleotide non-coding RNA is filed under the name unclassified sequences. RNAcentral describes it as "S15-Flavobacteria ribosomal protein leader". It matches the Rfam family "S15-Flavobacteria ribosomal protein leader". The record is from RNAcentral.
UAUUUUUGCAGCCGUAUUCCGAAAGACGGAACACAUACAUAACAAUUAUUUACAUAAAUAUUAGCAUG